GGGGGCGACUGGAUUCGACGGGUCUAGUGAAGAUUCCGAGGCGUGCCCAGGUUCCCGGUACCCUGGAUAAACCACUGGGGCAAAGCACAACUGCCAAUACUGAGUUGGCUCUGGCUGCCUAAGCUACGCGCUUAGAGCACCUGCCCGCGUGGCAGCCUGGCCCAAGGCGGCGCGCGGGUAUCGAAAAAUCGGGCUGGUGACACACGACGCUUCCGCGUGCGUUGCGAGAUUCUAAGGGAGCUUGUUCGCGAGCCGGGGGGUUGCGACCCGACGCGCGGAGACUGCAAACGCAACCUACGCACGUAGGCUUGGUUUUGGAUCGAGGCUCGGACCGGGGUUCGAUUCCCCGCGCCUCCAUCA
This 360-nucleotide transfer-messenger RNA is filed under the name Gemmatimonadota bacterium. It matches the Rfam family "transfer-messenger RNA". Rfam says of the family: Bacterial tmRNA, also known as 10Sa RNA or SsrA, is named for its dual tRNA and mRNA-like properties. Its role is to liberate the mRNA from a stalled ribosome. To accomplish this part of the tmRNA is used as a reading frame that ends in a translation stop signal. The record is from RNAcentral. Lineage: Bacteria; Pseudomonadati; Gemmatimonadota.